GACGAACGCUGGCGGCGUGCUUAACACAUGCAAGUCGAACGGAAAGGCCUGCUUUCCCUUGUGGAUUGCGGGUACUCGAGUGGCGAACGGGUGAGUAACACGUGAGUGAUCUGCCCCCAACUUGGGUAUAAGCCUGGGAAACUGGGUCUAAUUCCCGAUAGGACUGCAGGGUGGUGCCUGUGGUGGAAAACGAUUUUCUAGUGGUUGGGGAUGAGCUCGCGGCCUAUCAGCUUGUUGGUGGGGUAAUGGCCUACCAAGGCGGCGACGGGUAGCCGGCCUGGGGGGGUGGACGGCCACAUUGGGACUGAGAUACGGCCCAGACUCCUACGGGAGGCAGCAGUGGGGAAUAUUGCACAAUGGGCGGAAGCCUGAUGCAGCGACGCCGCGUGGGGGAUGACGGCCUUCGGGUUGUAACCUCCUUUCGACCGCGAGGAAGCCACCUGGUUGGAAGGGUGGUGACGGUAGUGGUAGAAGAAGCACCGGCUAACUACGUG
This 494-nucleotide ribosomal RNA is filed under the name uncultured bacterium. Its description in RNAcentral is "partial 16S ribosomal RNA". It matches the Rfam family "Bacterial small subunit ribosomal RNA", at positions 28 to 507 of the family's 1533-position model. The record is from RNAcentral.